RNAcentral lists this unclassified non-coding RNA (309 nucleotides) under plant metagenome. Its description in RNAcentral is "partial contains 5.8S ribosomal RNA, internal transcribed spacer 2, and large subunit ribosomal RNA". The stretch from base 1 to 105 matches the Rfam family "5.8S ribosomal RNA", at positions 50 to 154 of the family's 154-position model. The record is from RNAcentral.
GAAAUGCGAUAAGUAGUGUGAAUUGCAGAAUUCAGUGAAUCAUCGAAUCUUUGAACGCACAUUGCGCCCCUCGGUAUUCCGUGGGGCAUGCCUGUUCGAGCGUCAUCUACACCCUCAAGCUCUGCUUGGUGUUGGGCGUCUGUCCCGCCUCCUCGCGCGCGGACUCGCCCCAAAUCCAUUGGCGGCGGCCCUUGCCUCCCUCUCGCGCAGCACAUUGCGCUUCUCGAGGCGCGGCGGACCGCGUCCAGCAAGCAACCGUCACACCGUCUUUGACCUCGGAUCAGGUAGGGAUACCCGCUGAACUUAAGC